CUGGAAAGGCGAUUGGAAGAACUUCACAGAACCAGGAGAUCCGAAGAACGAAUCCGGAUUCUUCCCUCACGGAGCGGCAGGCGUUUUUAAAGGCGCGUCUCUGGUUUACCUCAGCUACAUCGGCUACGACGCUGUAUCGACGAUGGCGGAAGAAGUUCGGAAUCCGGCGAAGGAUAUUCCAAUCGGCGUCUCCGGCUCCGUCGUGCUUGUCACCGUCUUCUACUGCUUAAUGGCGGCUUCAAUGACCAAGCUCCUUCCCUACGAUAUGAUCAAGG
This 275-nucleotide unclassified non-coding RNA is filed under the name Hevea brasiliensis (rubber tree). The record is from RNAcentral. Lineage: Eukaryota; Viridiplantae; Streptophyta; Magnoliopsida; Malpighiales; Euphorbiaceae.